AGCACUGUCCCCGGAGGGCUACAACUGAGGCAGCAAAACAAAGAGGAAUUUUUAAAAAAAAACACAGCGUUGAGGAUAACUGAAGAAUUUGAAAGCAUGUCGGACUCCAAAGAUCAUAUAUACAGGAUUUUGCAAACAACGACCUUCUGCAGUCAUUAAUACCAGCAUACUUACAGCAAAACCCCAUGUUUGCACAGUACAUGAGGACUUUCACCUGGGACCCUGUAGUAAAUGGUUCCUCCUCCGCUACCAUGGAUCUUCCAGUCCCUUGAAUGCAUUUCAAGGAGAGAGGAGACUUCUUGAGUAGCUUAAAGCAAGGAAUCACAGUGAGGCGAUGGUUUGGAGUUGGGUGAAUGGCACCAAAGCCUAAUGAUGAACAUCCUGAGUGUCCCCCGAGUCCCACUUUCCGUUUCUGAGUGACUGGUCUGAUGUCUGCAAGGCCUCUUUAAUGGGACAUCAAACCUGGAGCCGGUAGAGGGAAGAACAUCACACACACACACACCACACACACACACACAUACCCACACACACACACACACACACACACACACACACACACACACACACAGGAAGAGCAGGACUGGUCUUCAAGAAGACAUUCUGGAUUGAUCAGAGGCCUCAGCCCUUCACAGCCUUCCCACACUAUGGCACAGCCAGAGAAAUGUCUUAUCAUAAAUGUAGUAAUGAAGCUCGACGGGAAGAACACACAACCACUCAACUUGAUCUGUUUCGCCUUAAACAUUUAGCACAGGGAAAGAAUGA
Molecule: long non-coding RNA, 762 nt
Organism: Epinephelus lanceolatus (giant grouper)
Lineage: Eukaryota; Metazoa; Chordata; Actinopteri; Perciformes; Serranidae
Source: RefSeq, a predicted model, not a curated record